CAUCACUACGCUAGAUGUAUAUCAAUAAGCGGAGGAAAAGAAACUAACAAGGAUUCCCCUAGUAACGGCGAGUGAAAGCGGGAAGAGCUCAAAUUUGAAAUCUUAAAGGGUUUCCCUUUACGAAUUGUAGUUUAAAGAAGUGUUUUCUGUUGGAGUUUCGGUAAAAGUUCUUUGGAAUAGGACAUCAUAGAGGGUGAGAAUCCCGUAUUUGACCGUUACUUUCCAGCUGUGUGAUACACUUUCAAAGAGUCGGAUUGUUUGGGAAUGCAGUCCAAAAUGGGUGGUAAAUUUCAUCUAAGGCUAAAUAUUGGCGAGAGACCGAUAGCGAACAAGUACCGUGAGGGAAAGAUGAAAAGAACUUUGAAAAGAGAGUUAAACAGUACGUGAAAUUGUCAAAAGGGAAGCGUUUGACACCAGUGUUGUUUUUCCGAAAAUCAAUUACGAAUGUUUUAUUUUUGAGAAGUUAUGACUUCAUCGGCUUGCUUCUCUCUUUAUGAAACUUUCUUAAUGCACUUUUCGGUUAACAAGUCAACAUCAAUUUCUUUUGUUGUAAAAGGGUAUGAGGAAGGUGGCUUUCUUUUCGGAGAAAGUGUUUAUAGCCUUGUGCCUCUGCAAUCGGAGAGAUUGAGGUCUGCAGCGUAGAUCCUUCGGGGUUAGAUACGUUUGUGCUAAGUUAUAGCUUUUCAUAGACAACUUGUUGACUAUGUUUAGUCUUGUAGCUUACUCGCAUGCGCUAUUUUACCUACGCUUAGGAUGUUGACACACGCGCGUGCUCG
This 776-nucleotide ribosomal RNA is filed under the name uncultured Neocallimastigales. RNAcentral describes it as "partial large subunit ribosomal RNA". It matches the Rfam family "Eukaryotic large subunit ribosomal RNA", at positions 20 to 643 of the family's 3401-position model. The record is from RNAcentral. Lineage: Eukaryota; Fungi; Neocallimastigomycota; Neocallimastigomycetes; Neocallimastigales.